This 497-nucleotide ribosomal RNA is filed under the name uncultured bacterium. RNAcentral's name for it is "partial 16S ribosomal RNA". It matches the Rfam family "Bacterial small subunit ribosomal RNA", at positions 28 to 507 of the family's 1533-position model. The record is from RNAcentral.
GAUGAACGCUGGCGGCGAGCCUAAUACAUGCAAGUCGAGCGAACAGACGAGGAGCUUGCUCCUCUGACGUUAGCGGCGGACGGGUGAGUAAUACGUGGAUAACCUACCUAUAAGACUGGGAUAACUUCGGGAAACCGGAGCUAAUACCGGAUAACAUGUUCAACCGCAUGUUUCAACAGUGAAAGACGGUCUUGCUGUCACUUAUAGAUGGAUCCGCGGCGCAUUAGCUAGUUGGUAAGGUAACGGCUUACCAAGGCAACGAUGCGUAUCCGACCUGUGAGGGCGAUCAGCCGCACUGGAAGUGAGAACAGGUCCAAACUCCUACUGGAGGCAGCAGUCGGGAAUCUUCCGCAAUGGGCGAAAGCCUGACGGGGCAACGCCGCGUGAGUGAUGAAGGUCUUCGGAUCGUAAAACUCUGUUAUUAGGGAAGAACAAAUGUGUAAGUAACUAUGCACGUCUUGACGGUACCUAAUUAGAAAGCCACGGCUAACUACGUU